RNAcentral lists this ribosomal RNA (34 nucleotides) under Trifolium repens (white clover). RNAcentral's name for it is "partial 28S ribosomal RNA". The record is from RNAcentral. Lineage: Eukaryota; Viridiplantae; Streptophyta; Magnoliopsida; Fabales; Fabaceae.
GAUCUCAAAUGCAUGGUGCAAGGACACAAGGGCC